RNAcentral lists this non-coding RNA (178 nucleotides) under Halobacillus sp. RNAcentral describes it as "Lysine sequence". It matches the Rfam family "Lysine riboswitch aptamer". From Rfam's summary of the family: Riboswitches are metabolite binding domains within certain messenger RNAs that serve as precision sensors for their corresponding targets. Allosteric rearrangement of mRNA structure is mediated by ligand binding, and this results in modulation of gene expression. This family includes riboswitches that sense lysine in a number of genes involved in lysine metabolism, including lysC. RNAcentral also lists the same sequence under 1 other name. Lineage: Bacteria; Bacillati; Bacillota; Bacilli; Caryophanales; Bacillaceae. The record is from RNAcentral.
AGUAAGGAUAGAGGUGCAAAUACAUGAGUACGCAUGUUGAGGAGAAUGAGAUCCGACGACACAUGGGGAAAGGGGAUUUUGCCGAAGCGGAAGGAAUCUCAUAUUCCGGACGUUGGUUCUGUUGCUUAAGAGGUGCAGGACUGUCAUAUAGGAGACUAUAUGGAGGGCUAUCUUACGC